CCAAAGUUAGUGCAGCGUGGAAAGCGGGAAUGGAUUACGGCCAUUCAAGCGGUUAAUGCAGAUUGUUGAGCGAUCCUUCCGUUCAUCAUUGGU
Molecule: transfer RNA, 93 nt
Filed under: Ceratocystis platani
Lineage: Eukaryota; Fungi; Ascomycota; Sordariomycetes; Microascales; Ceratocystidaceae
Description: tRNA-Val
Source: RNAcentral